RNAcentral lists this ribosomal RNA (429 nucleotides) under uncultured archaeon. Its description in RNAcentral is "bacterial SSU rRNA". It matches the Rfam family "Archaeal small subunit ribosomal RNA", at positions 474 to 903 of the family's 1478-position model. The record is from RNAcentral.
UACCAGCUCUCCGAGUGGUAGGGAUGAUUAUUGGGCUUAAAGCGUCCGUAGCCGGCUUAGCAAGUUUCCUGUUAAACUCAGCGACUCAAUCGUUGGAUCGCGGGAAAUAUUACUAGGCUAGGAGGCGGGAGAGGUCGACGGUACUUCUGGGGUAGGGGUGAAAUCCUAUAAUCCCGGGAGGACCACCAGUGGCGAAGGCUGUCGACUAGAACGCGCUCGACGGUGAGGGACGAAAGCUGGGGGAGCGAACCGGAUUAGAUACCCGGGUAGUCCCAGCUGUAAACGAUGCGGGCUAGGUGUUGGGGUGGCUACGUGCCACUUCAGUGCCGCAGGGAAGCCAUUAAGCCCGCCGCCUGGGGAGUACGGCCGCAAGGCUGAAACUUAAAGGAAUUGGCGGGGGAGCACCACGAGGCGUGAAGCUUGCGGUUC